This 363-nucleotide unclassified non-coding RNA is filed under the name Hevea brasiliensis (rubber tree). The record is from RNAcentral. Lineage: Eukaryota; Viridiplantae; Streptophyta; Magnoliopsida; Malpighiales; Euphorbiaceae.
GAAAUUUAUGAUUUCUAUCUCACUAAGAAUGCUGUAUUUCUUGUUUAAGCGUGAAGUUCGAAAUUUACUGGCUGCAAUUUUUUUUUUUAAACUUUUUCGGUUAUCUCCCAUUUUCUGAUAUAGAGAGAUGGAUGAAUCAGACUACAAGUUGUAAUCAUGCACUCUUGCAAGCGUUUGAAGAUAACUUUUCUGAAAGGUCCAAGUGCUCAAUUAGGAAAGCUCAAGUACCAUAAAAUGUUGUCUCAUGGAAAUUUUCAAGUUCAUGACAUGAAAUUUUUUAUCAUCAGAUGUGUUGUGCUAGUCUAUGAAGUUCCUUCUUUUUUGGUUUGGUAGUUGGCUAGGUUAAUAAGCAGAAAUUGUUUG